Molecule: small RNA, 1396 nt
Filed under: Cryptococcus neoformans H99
Lineage: Eukaryota; Fungi; Basidiomycota; Tremellomycetes; Tremellales; Cryptococcaceae
Description: Cryptococcus neoformans var. grubii H99 hypothetical RNA
Source: RNAcentral
UAUAUACAUACACAAUCAUGCACACCUACACCUCCCCGAGAUUAACCCGCACCCAAAAUGUGAAAUGCUUAUACUCUUCCUUCCGCUUCUCCUCCACCGGCGUCCCUUCUCCCUCGACGCGAUACGUAAACCUCACUUCCAAAUCAAACUCUACAUCCCCCUCUGCCCUUUCAGAAACCUCCACCUCGAUAGGCACUUUCGACACAUUCUCCCUUUUCUCCACCCCCGCUUCCCGCCGUUUAUCGCGCGUGCUGCCGCCCGCCAGAACACCCAAUCGCCCGCCUUUCCGCCCAAUCCCACUCAUCGUCCCCGAUCCAGUCGUCACACUUGCCGUAUCCUCACUUCCAUCCCCAUCCCCAUCCUCAUCCUCCUCAUCAUCGUCAUACGCCCACGCAUCUUUCGACGCAUUACACGUAAAAUGCGGCGUCGCGAUCCGUAUCUCACACUUUGCCGGCGGUGCAUGUUUAGGCAGAGGAGGUUGAGUCAGUCGGAUUUGGAUAGGAUCGUAAAGCGGGUUGGUAAGCGCGAGUUGAAAAGUGUACGUCUCGCCUGCAACAAGCCGCGCGUUUAGAGCCUCUUCUUCCUCUUUGCCCUUUUCCCCCUCUCGCCACGAGAUGCCCGACAAGGCAGGUCGCGUCCGACGUCGUUCACGUCUCUUCUCCCGCUCCAGCUCGGCAUCGUUCUGCUCAUCCGUAUCCCCACCGGGCACCACCACCCGCCGCCGCCGCCGCCGCCGUCGACCCACCUCCAAGAUGGGAAGGUAGUUGAGCGCUACCAUCUUUAUCUUCAUACGCACACUUUUCGUAUCCGGCUGGAUAAGUAAAUGACGACAGCUAGGCUCAGGACACCGUUUUGUCAGUUUCGUCUUUAACGGGAUCCUCUGCGGUAACGCUGAUCUGCAAAAACCCCCGUUGUCAAUCAAUCAAUCAAAAAAAGGAGAUGCGGUGAAAACCCACUGGGACAUCCGGCCACAUUCCCAGCUCCUACUCCACCGCCUAUCCAACGCAGCCACCCCUUCCCACCCCGCUUCUUCCAACAACCUCAUCGUCUCCACGUCUUCCAUCCCCUUUUCCAACCCCAACUCUCGCCAGUUUGCUUUCGACUCGUACUCUUCCAGCUCAUCCCAGCCCACUUUCUCCCCUCCCGGCGCUUGACCCUGCCCGCGCGGCGGUCUUUUACGUACAGCAAGUCCAUGAACAGGCCGGUUCAACGCCUUGGCCGCCAUCUGCGUAAGAUGCGAAAUGUGGCGUGAAGGCACUCUUGGUCGAUGUGGCGUCGUAGUGGGUGUAGAUGAACAAGUGAUGUACGACUCGAGAUGAUCUUUGAUACUAUCAAACUCUGCCUGUACUUGUUCAGGCUGGGUCCAUGUUUUUUGCAGUUGCACUAUUACCCCAUC